This 557-nucleotide small RNA is filed under the name Pan troglodytes (chimpanzee). RNAcentral describes it as "processed transcript". Lineage: Eukaryota; Metazoa; Chordata; Mammalia; Primates; Hominidae. The record is from RNAcentral.
CUUGUGCUCAUCGGGCGGCAAGACCGGCUGAAGCGUCGGGAGGUAGAGCGGAGGCUGCGAGGGAUCAUUGAUCAAAUCCAAGAUGCCCUCAGGGAUGGCAGGGAGAUCCAGUGGCCCAAUGCCAUGUAUCCAGACCUCCACAUGCCUUUUGCACCAUCCUGGUCCUUGCACUGGGCCUACAGAGACGGACACCUGGUCAACCUGCCAGUCAGCCUGCUGGUUGAAGGAGACAUCAUAGCUUUGAGGCCUGGCCAGGAAUCGUUUGCUUCUCUGAGGGGGAUCAAGGAUGACGAGCACAUCGUCCUGGAGCCGGGAGACCUCUUCCCCCCCUUCUCCCCUCCACCCUCACCCCGGGGAGAAGUGGAGAGAGGGCCACAGAGCCCCCAGCAGCACCGGCUUUUCCGUGUCCUUGAGACCCCUGUGAUUGACAACGUCAGAUGGUGCCUGGACAUGGCCCUGUCCCGACCAGUCACUGCCCUGGACAAUGAGCGGUUCACAGUGCAGUCGGUGAUGCUACACUAUGCUGUGCCCGUGGUCCUGCUGGGCGCGGGGACUCA